RNAcentral lists this ribosomal RNA (460 nucleotides) under uncultured bacterium. RNAcentral describes it as "partial 16S ribosomal RNA". It matches the Rfam family "Bacterial small subunit ribosomal RNA", at positions 338 to 795 of the family's 1533-position model. The record is from RNAcentral.
CCUACGGGCGGCAGCAGUGAGGAAUAUUGGUCAAUGGGCGCGAGCCUGAACCAGCCAAGUAGCGUGAAGGAUGACUGCCCUACGGGUUGUAAACUUCUUUUAUAAAGGAAUAAAGUGAGGCACGUGUGCCUUUUUGUAUGUACUUUAUGAAUAAGGAUCGGCUAACUCCGUGCCAGCAGCCGCGGUAAUACGGAGGAUCCGAGCGUUAUCCGGAUUUAUUGGGUUUAAAGGGAGAGUAGGUGGAUUGUUAAGUCAGUUGUGAAAGUUUGCGGCUCAACCGUAAAAUUGCAGUUGAAACUGGCAGGCUUGAGUACAGUAGAGGUGGGCGGAAUUCGUGGUGUAGCGGUGAAAUGCUUAGAUAUCACGAAGAACUCCGAUUGCGAAGGCAGUUCUCUGGACUGCAACUGACACUGAGGCUCGAAAGUGUGGGUAUCAAACAGGAUUAGAUACCCUGGUAGUC